Molecule: long non-coding RNA, 5794 nt
Filed under: Aquilegia coerulea
Lineage: Eukaryota; Viridiplantae; Streptophyta; Magnoliopsida; Ranunculales; Ranunculaceae
Description: long non-coding RNA (ACOE_LNC002354)
Source: RNAcentral
CAGAUCAUAUAACAAGAAAGAAGCCAACGAAUAGACAACAAAAAAAGAUACAAAAUGUUUCUGCACUUCAGCUCAUAAUCAGUACCAUACACUGAUACACAUUGUACAAAAAGUUCCUGUGUUCCUACACUGAAUAUACACAAACAGCAUAGUGUUUCUUAUAUAUAGCAAAACACAAUUAUAACUUUCUCCAAGCUUCACACCACCAUAAUAUUGCUAUUCUUAAUUUCUUAUAUAUACCAAAACCCAGUUAAACUUCCUUCAGCUUCCAAGAAAUUCCAGCGUCAUCCACUUUGCUCUUAAAAAGGUAAAUAAAAUCUACCCAGAAACAGUUACAACCCGUGAUUCUGAAUUAACACAUCUUACAUUUCAGCUCCACCUAGUUGUCGGGAUUUGAACUGCCCCUGCCAUAACCCUCUGGUCUCCACCAGCGAGGUCUAGGGAAAGACCACCCAGCCUUUAUAGCUGCAACAAGAAUAUCAUCGUCGUCCGCAUCUACAAGAUCUGUUAGAGCAACAGUAUGUUGAGGAUCAUUUCCAGGGGAUCCAUCUUCAAUAACUUUCUCUCCAUCUAAACACGGAUUAUCUUCUUCUUGACCCCUUGUGCCACCUUGAGCUGAACUCUCAGCUUCUCCUGACCCAUCCUCUCUACCACAACUUGUACCUUGUCUUCCACCAUGACCCAAACCUUCCAUUUUCCGAAUGAUUUCUAGAAUUGAAUUGGGCAAUCUGCGUUGUUCUUGAGGGGCCUCUGAAAUCAGACCUAAACCGAGAUCAUUGAUGUUACUGGUUUCAAACAUUUCAACCUCCUCCAUAGCGUCAUUACACUUCGGCUUUUCAUUGCCCAUUCCAUUUCCCAAGUCUUUCUCAUUCCCUGGGUCCCCAUCAUUGUCCCCAAGUUCUGGUUCCAAGACUUCUGUACCAGUAAUACCACAAUGAGCUACCUGCAAACCUUCCAUGUCCACAUUAUUACCAUCAAGCUGAACAGAAACCUGAGCAUCUUCUUCCAUAAUCACAUUAAUACCAUCAAGCUCAACAGAGACCUUGUCACUCACAUUUCUCAGAUUAGCUGCCUCAACCACCACCUGAGCAUCUUCUCCCAUAGUCACAUUAAUACCAUCAAGCUUAACAGAGACUUUGUCACUCACAUUUCUCAGAUUGGCUACCUCAACCACCACCUUGGCAUCUUCUCCCAUAGCCACAUUAAUACCAUCAAGCUCAACAGAAACCUUGUCACUCCCAUUUUUCAGAUUAUCAGAGUCAUCCACCAUCUGAGCAUCUUCAAAUGCAUCUAUAGGUUCCUCCACAUCAGCUACAGUCUCAUCAUCAACAUUAGUAAACCCAAGUUCCAAUCUUUUAGUCUCAGUUAACCCUAUAUCAUCAUUCGGCAGUGAUUUCCUCUUCAAAGAAUCAUUUCCCCCCAAUUCUGACCUAGAAAUCUCACUGACCCUACCUUCCUUAUCUAAAUUUCCAGAAAAAUCAUCAUUUUUCCCCAAAUCAAACCUAGAAUUCUCAAUUUCACAAACUUCCUUACCCAAAUUUCCACAAACAUCAUCAUUAUUAACAAUCUCAGUCGAAAUACUCUCAUCUAUCAACGAUUUCUCUUCAGAAAACACCAAAUCAGUAUCUCUAUCUAAAUCAACAGAAGGUAAUGAAGAUUCUCUUACCCCAUCAGUGCAAUCACCAUCAUCAACAACUUUCUUCUUAGAUUCAACAACUACUUCAUCAUUUCUCUGUUCUUCUUGUGAAGGAAUUGAGAUAAGUUGUUCUUCAGGUGUUUGAUAAACAUCCUCUUCAUCUCCUUCCUUUGUUUGCACUGGAAAACUUUCUUCUUUAUCAUCAUCAACUGAACUCGGAAGAGAAAAGAUAGUAAUUCCGACCGCUUCUGCUGAAGAUUCGUCGGAAAGUGACGAACUUUUCUCUAUCUCUUUUCCGGCGUUGAUAUCGCCAUUACCGUUACGGUUGCCGUUGACGGGAUCACGUACUUCGUUAAUGAAAGGACAAGUUUCAAGAAUCUUUUGUUGAGCGGGUGAGAUAUAGGCGUCUUCGAUGAUGAAAGCAUAUGGAUCUGCCAUUUCUUCUUUCUAGGGUUAGGGUUUUGACUGAAAGACUGAGGAGGAAGGAUGGUUUCGGGCUUUUUAUAGUUUAUUCGGAAAGCGACCUGAAGGAGAGACAGGGGUGAUUAUGAAGAAGGGAAAUUGUUUGCAUGAUUGGUGUAAUUUUGGAUCAGUGGGCAGAGCGUCUCUGGUUUGACGAAUCUUGCAAAAGAAAAUGUGAAUCCAUCUGUUUUGAGAAAAUGAACUUCUUAAUUAGAAAAGAAGUUGGAAAACCUUCUUAAACAUUAAUAAUACAUACAAUUUGCUCAACAACAAAAAUCCAAUUUAACCCUUUUGUAUCUGCUUGUUGAGUUAAUUCAAUCGUUUUUUUCAUUUGCCUUUCGAAACUAUUGGGACGAAAGAAUAAGAAACCUCAAUAAACUCAAUAAAAACCACGUCUACAGUACAAUUACUUUGUGAGAUUGGCCCUCAUUAGGGGUGUUAUUCGAGCCGAGCGAGCCGAGCUUUGAAUGGUCAUACUCGGCUCGUUUUAAUACGAGUCGAGCCCGAGCCGAGCCCAAUUUCUGAAUCGAGCCUGGUUUUAUGUUCAAGCUCGGCUCGCGAGCUAUUUAUCGAGCUCGAGCUCGAGCUCGUUAGGCUCGUUUAGCUCGAGCCGAGCUCGAGCCCUCCAAGCUCGUUUAGCUCGAAUCAAGCUCGAACACUCAAAGCUCAUUUAGCUCGAGCCGAGCUCGAGCUCGAGCUCGUUUAGCUCGUUUGCAGCUUUUUCCUGGUAUAAAACAGACCUCUGUUGCAUUCUCUCUAUUAUACGUUCUUACCAAAGAUUUCCACUAAAAUCUCGAUAUCUAAAACAUACUACAAGAAGUUUCUUCUGUCAUAAAUCAAGCCACAGUUUAUUUGUAACUGCAGUUUCCAGUCCACCUUGUAACAUCAUCUUUUUCUUUAAUAUAAUCCAGGGACAAAAGAGAAGUCAUGAAAUACAGAAAUUAAUAGAAAACUAAUGAUACAACCUCCUUACCCAUAACUAAAUUAAUUAAUUACACUAAUCAGAUUAUCUUAAUUUAAUUCAUUACAAAAAUAGAUGAUUGUGAAGCAGCAGCAGCAUAGAAAGAAAGAUGUAACUCAUAUAAUUUGAGUAGAAAUUAAAAAAGUAAACUUGUUGUUUAUAAGUGUUGUUUAAUUAAUCAUAAAACUCAAAUUCAUGAAUCAAAACCUGUAAAUUGGAACGGAAAAAUUUCAAACAAAAAUUUAGUAAAUUACCAAUUGGAGAUGAAGUAUGAAACUACCAGCUUUCUUCAAUCCUUUUUUCUUAACAAUGAAGUACGAAGCUACCACCAAGGCACCAACUGGAGAUGAAGAUGGAUACUGGUUAGAUCGAGUUAGAGAAGAAGAAGGAGAAGGGAGACGGCAAGGUUUCACAUAUCGUUAUGUUGAUAUAUUCAUAUAUAGUGGGGGUAGGAUAGGAAUAACACAUAUUAAUGGGGGUAGGAUGGGUAACAUAACUUAACCAUAUCUAAAUUCGAGCUACUCGGCUCGGCUCGAUUAAAGCUCGGCUCGGGCUCGCUUAUCUUAUAAAAAACGAGUCGAGCUCGAGCUGCUCAACUCACAUAACACCCCUAGCCCUCAUAGAAUUGCAUAGACAAAACUUCUUAAGAGGCGUCUAAUAGCAUACAAUAGUCAUAAACAAUUACACAACACCGUCUAAACAGUCUCGCAAAUAUUAUAGUUCUUACAUCACAGUGUAGGUACAACAAACACUUUCCAUGCAACAGUAUGAGAGCUUUCAAUGGAAAUAAAUAGAAGGAUAUUUUAAGAGUCCAGUGCAACUCAAUUUAUCAUUGCCGUGAAUAAAACAACCUGGAACUGGUUUUUUUAUUAGUUUCUUAUGUGGAAUACCCAAUUUGAUUUGAUGAACUUAUCGUUGAUUGGGAAGAUAUAAUUGUAACACUACAUUAACUGUUGGAUGUGUAGCUAGAUUAUCUUAAUCACACUUCUUAUAAGAUUUUAUUUUACCGACCCAAGAAAAUAAAAUUAAUCUCUCAUUAUUAAAAAUCAUCAAAGAAGAAGAUAAUAUUUCUAAGUUGCGUCAAACAAUUCUACUAUAUAAAAUGAAAAAGUGGAAUCAAACCUACCAACAUACUAAAAUGAGACAUUGAUAUCAUAUCAAUUUCAUUACUGAUUGAAAUUUAUGUGAAACUAAAGACUGAAGAUGGCUUAUUCAAUCUUUUUCAACAAAAUUGAACAUCAAGUCAAACAUACUACACUAUUUUUUAAACAAAUUGUAAAAGGGGUUCUUAGUUCUUACCCACAAAUCAAAAUUAAUUUUUUUAAUUAUUCUAACAAGCAAUUAAAACAUACAUAUAUAUAUGACAAUAUAAACACAACCAAGAAAAUGAGUACCUUAGUCCACAGUAGCUAUAACAAGAGAUUCAAGAGAUAAGAUUCAUUACUAGUUAGUUCAAUUGAAGGAAGAAGAGAAUGAAAAAAAAAUCCCAAUUUUUUCUAUUUCUUCAACAAAUUCUCAAACUCCUCUUGCUUUAAUUUCACUACAACAACAAUGAAGAAGAAGAAGAAGAAGAAGAAAACGACUGAUCGUUCAUUGGUUCUUUCUUUCUAAGAUGUGGAUCAAGACCCAUAAAGUUUAUUUUUGGAUCUGAAGAAGGCCUUAGCCCGGCCCAUAUUAACCAAACAGCCCAUUUGAGUGAUAUUUAUAAAAUAGGCAUCUCCACUUAACCGAAAUAACCCCGUUACAAAUUUUGGCGGGAAGAAGACCUCAAGAAACAUUAACAUCACAUCUCCAAACAUUUUUAGUUUGAAUCAGAGAUUAUAUUAAACAUAGUUCUAUGAAACAAAUUGCAGGACAUAAGAGAACCGAAUCAGAUGAGAAUGCAGUCACAAUUCUAAAGCAAACCUACAUGACAGACUCCAUUAAUUACAAGCCCCUAGACAUUCAUAUUCGACCAUUUUAAUCUACAAAAUGAGUAAGCUUUAAAGCAGAUCAUAUAACAAGAAAGAAGCCAACGAAUAGACACAACAAAAGAUACAAAAUGUUUCUGCAUUUCAGUUCAUAAUCAGUACCAUACACUGAUACACAUUGUACAAAAAGUUCCUGUGUUCCUACACUGAAUAUACACAAACAGCAUAGUGUUUCUUAUAUAUAGCAAAACACAAUUAUAACUUUCUCCAAGCUUCACACCACCAUAAUAUUGCUAUUCUUAAUUUCUUAUAUAUACCAAAACCCAGUUAAACUUCCUUCAGCUUCCAAGAAAUUCCAACGUCAUCCACUUUGCUCUUAAAAAGAAAAAUAAAAUCUACCCAGAAACAGUUACAACCCGUGAUUCUGAAUUAACACAUCUUACAUUUCAGCUCCACCUAGUUGUCGGGAUUUGAACUGUCCCUGCCAUAACCCUCUGGUCUCCACCAGCGAGGUCUAGGGAAAGACCACCCAACCUUUAUAGCUGCAACAAGAAUAUCAUCGUCGUCCGCAUCUACAAGAUCUGUUAGAGCAACAAUAGGUUGAGGAUCAUUUCCAGGGGAUCCAUCUUCAAUAACUUUCUCUCCAUCUAAACACGGAUUAUCUUCUUCUUGACCCCUUGUGCCACCUUGAGCUGAAUUCUCAGCUUCUCCUGACCCAUCCUCUCUGCCACAACUUGUACCUUGUCUUCCACCAUGACCCAAACCUUCCAUUUUCCGAAUGAUUUCUAGAAUUGAAUUGGGCAAUCUGCGUUGUUCUUGAGGGGC